This 297-nucleotide long non-coding RNA is filed under the name Nicotiana benthamiana. RNAcentral describes it as "long non-coding RNA (NBEN_LNC002528)". Lineage: Eukaryota; Viridiplantae; Streptophyta; Magnoliopsida; Solanales; Solanaceae. The record is from RNAcentral.
AAAUUUCAAAAUUAUUUCUAGAUCAACCAUGAAUGUUAGGAAUACAGAAUUCAAAGUCUAACAUAGAAUAAAGGUCUUACAAAUUUAACCAUUUUAAACUUGAACGUAAGUUAUACAAACAUCUUUUUUAAUAAAAUAGGAGGUAGACUCAAACCAAGAUCUUCAUAUAGAGUAAAAUCAGCCUCUUUUAAGAUAAUAAAAUGCAAUAUCAGCAUCUCCUGGUCACACAGCAAUUAUUAUGUUAUCUAAAUGGUUUGUCAUUUUAAUAGAUUGAGAUUUUAGUUUUAUUAGUAAAUU